GAUGAACGCUGGCGGCGUGCCUAAUACAUGCAAGUCGAGCGAACAGAUGAGAAGCUUGCUUCUCUGAUGUUAGCGGCGGACGGGUGAGUAACACGUGGGUAACCUACCUAUAAGACUGGGAUAACUCCGGGAAACCGGGGCUAAUACCGGAUAAUAUUUUGAACCGCAUGGUUCAAUAGUGAAAGGCGGUUUCGGCUGUCACUUAUAGAUGGACCCGCGCCGUAUUAGCUAGUUGGUAAGGUAACGGCUUACCAAGGCGACGAUACGUAGCCGACCUGAGAGGGUGAUCGGCCACACUGGAACUGAGACACGGUCCAGACUCCUACGGGAGGCAGCAGUAGGGAAUCUUCCGCAAUGGGCGAAAGCCUGACGGAGCAACGCCGCGUGAGUGAUGAAGGUCUUCGGAUCGUAACACUCUGUUGUUAGGGAAGAACAAAUUUGUUAGUAACUGAACAAGUCUUGACGGUACCUAACCAGAAAGCCACGGCUAACUACGUGCCAGCCGCCGCAGUAA
RNAcentral lists this ribosomal RNA (514 nucleotides) under uncultured bacterium. Its description in RNAcentral is "partial 16S ribosomal RNA". It matches the Rfam family "Bacterial small subunit ribosomal RNA", at positions 28 to 523 of the family's 1533-position model. The record is from RNAcentral.